AUGCAAAGCGCACACAGUCUGCGUGACAUAAAUCCUCUCACCCUGCCAGACACGGACGCACAACUAAAACAUUACACAGUUCCCCCAUCCACUGCAGCCGGCACAGUACACAAAGCGAGCUUUCUGCGGCGGACACGAGGCGCUCUCCUUACAACCACAGACAGGGAAAGUCCAUCUCACCGCCCCGCGCAGACGUGCGCUGACAUCCGGAGCUCUGAGGCACCACGGACACGUCGUGCCCCGCACGCAGCCCCCGCGGCCCCAUUCAUUCCCUGCCGGCACCGAACCGCACCCCGCGUCUCACUCCGCGCUCCCGGCCUCAUCCUCCCCGCACAGCGCUCCGGCCGAACCGCGAACCUCCACCGCGCGGCCCCUCCCCGCCCGCGCCCCACAGAGCGCACCCACGCGGGACGGCCCCGCUCCGCGUCGGCGGUACCGGCAGUAUCGGCCGUACCGGGGGUACCGGGGGUACCGGCAGUAUCGGGGGUACCGGGAGUAUCGGCGGUACCGGGGGUUCCGGCGGUAUCGGCCCCCGCCCCCGCCCCGCGCUGCCGCCCCGCUCUGCCCCGCGCUCCGGCACGGCCCGACGCGCCCACUCCCACGCUCCCCUCCCGGACCGGUCCCGCUCCGCGCCCCCCGUCAGUCCCGGCCGUACUUCUCUCCUUCUCUCGGGUUCGCAGCGGCGAAAGAUCCGUCCGUCCGUCCCAGCGCCUUGGAGCCGGGUUGUGCCGGGCCGCUCUGAGCCGCUCCCUCCUCCCCGGCCCGCCCCGCGCGCUGCCCGUGUCCGGGGCCGCCCCCCACCCCGGUCCGCACCGAGCAGCGCCGGCUUCCAACCCGCAGCCUUCGGGUCGGGGAUGUCCCACGGGACGGGUACGGGCGCUGCGGGGCCCUGCAGCCCCGAGCUGCGCUGCUCCCCCGGCGGCUCCGCUGCGCGGCUCCCGCUGCCCCCGGGACGGAGCCCCGGCACAGGGCCAACACCGCGGCCCUCCCCUGCACGGUCCCCGUUUCUCUCCGCCCCGGGACCCACGGCCGCAGCGGGACCGGGACCGGCUGCAACCGCCCCUCGGAGCCGCUCUCUGGCACAGAGCGAUGCUGCCUGGCCAGCCGCGGGGAAAGCAGGGACUGCCCACGUCCCCUCUGCUCCGGGUACCUCGGACACUCUUCAGCUUCUUCCUUGCCUUAUGGGUGCGAGGCGGCUACCGAGGGGGUCCCUCCAUCCCUCCUUCCCAGCUCUUUCCCCACGACUGUGGCAGGACAGACACACAGACGUUCCCUCCUGCUGGUAUCAGGAGCCACCUCAGACCCAUAAUGGAGCCAUUGCCACGGGGGACCCCGUCCUGCAGAGGAGGUGCGGGAACCCUGGCCGAGCACACGCUGCCAGCACCGGGGCCGUGCCUCAUUGUGGUGAAGGGUUCGGGGCCGGGGAGCAGCUGGAGGCGGAGCUGUGGCCCCCGCUGUAGCCGAGGUCCCAGUGUGCUGGCUGCAAGCGUGGGGCUGGAUGGCUGGCAGCUACGGGCUGCUGGAGGGAGUCGGUGGUAUCCCAAUGCUUUCCCCAAGAGAUGA
Molecule: long non-coding RNA, 1563 nt
Filed under: Coturnix japonica (Japanese quail)
Lineage: Eukaryota; Metazoa; Chordata; Aves; Galliformes; Phasianidae
Description: lncRNA (ENSCJPG00005007590.1)
Source: RNAcentral